UCCUGCUGCUGGUGGCCGCUGAAAUCUUUGUCCAACUGCUCCAGCAGACAGGAAGGGAAUCUGUGGCCAUCAUCUCCCUUUGCUCGUCUGAUACCAAUAUCUGCUCAGCUGCCAGACAUUGGUCAUCCAUCACUUUAUUUAAAUUCCAUUUUCUCAUUAUGAACUUGCUUCUGGUUCAGCCUUGUUCAUCCGGAUAGUCAGUGGGAGAAAAAAGAAAAUCUGGUACACCAAGAAACUGGGAAAAGUUCUGUGAAGAACUUUUCUGUGAAGCCUCACCAGGAGUGAGGCUGGUUUAACUCGUCCUUUAGCACGAAGACUAUAAGCUGAUAGAAAUGUGUGAAGGGAACUUUCCUUGCUCCAAGAUAGGAGUUUUUUUUAAGAAUUAUAACUCGCCUUUUCUGAGAACUUGGUGGGAGCUGGAGGUCAGAUGUGAGUAGUCUGCUGAGGUCCAGGCAAUGGGGAUUUUGAAAGGCUUUUUCUCCUCAGCAUUCCGGGAGUGGAUGAGAAGAAGUCUCCCCAUGGAAAGUUUAGGUUUUGGCAAAACACAACCGAGGAACAUUUUAAAUUCUUACCUGAGGUACAUGGGUACAGCAAAGAGAAAAUCCAAAAGAUUUAAGAAAGAAAGACAAAAAGCUUAAUAGCAAACAUCAGAGGAGAACUACUUUUUGGUAGUAGGGGAUGUGGGAGGUGAAUUACAUUGGCAGCAGUCUGCAGGACAAAUUCACAUGAAUGCAUGGGCCGUUUUCCUCUGCUCAUGGUCAAAUAUAGUGAAAGCGAUUCCCACUGCUUUAAAGCAAACAAACUGACAAAACUGAGUAUUGUUCAUGUGAAAGGCAGAUCCUACCAGGAGACACAAUACAGAGAAGGAGCAUGGUGCAACAGCAGUGAAAUCCAAGCAAACAAAAUUUAGAGUGAAAGGGACGUACUCAUGUGUGAUGGGGUGAAGAAAAGGAAGGUCUAAGAAAAAGCUAAACUCUUGUACAACACACCCUGGGGAAAUGUUCUUGGAGACCCGUGUUUAAAACUAGAAGUAACAAGGAAAAGUGCUCCAAGAACAUAACCAUCACUGAUACUGAGGCCAAAGGCUGCCUAGAGGGCACUUCCCAUUGCUGUUCCCAUCCCAUUUCUGUAGCUCUCUGCAGUGGUUUCAGAAAGAGCUGCUUUGCUCUCAAACUGGUUGAACAGGUGAAAAUAUUUAUUGCCUUGGAGUUUCUCUUCUGUGUUGUAUUUUUUUCUUGAUUAAGACACUGAUAGCCCAUAUGAGAUAGCUAUUUUACUGCAGUCAGCACUAUAACGUUCUAAUCAGAUGUAUUUAAACUGAAUCCUGUGCUUUGCAUUGAGGGUUUUCUUAGAAAACAGAGCACAACUUUAUUAUACUGCAUUGUAGAAUAAUGUAUUUAACACAGAAUCUCCAAUCAAUGGGAUAUAGAUUUUGUGGUUUUGUCUCUUGCUCUGUAUUUCAUACUCACACUGCACAUGCUUAGUGUUGGGUUUGACUCUGUUCCGAAUAUCAGAUAUAGUUGUUUAAAAUUCACAGAGCUGCACAGGUUUCACACUUGCCUGUGAAUAGCUGGUUGCUAUUAAAAGUACGUUCGUGGUGAAACAGUUCUCUGGUGUCUUAAAGCUGCCAGAAACCAUUAGUGCCUGCUGUUGUGUGAUAGUGGUAAUGUUGGAAAUGUCAUUUUAUGAUGUCUAUCACCUUAAAGACAAUGCAGUCUGUCUAUUUUUUGUUCUCGUGCUUUGAUGUUAUUCAAAUAUAUUUAUUUUAAAUACUUAUAAAUGUCAGUGGCUGCCGUUAGUAAUCUAUUUCAGAUGUCGCAUUGAAAGGUAAAAGCUCCCACCCCCAGGACAUUUGGGAGGGUGGAAAUAAAGUCUCAUAAUGAAGGCGAAUUGGGGACAGUAAGGAAGCAAGGGAACACCUGAGGCAAAGUUGUGUGUGCAUGUAAUUAGAUUAACUUUUAGGGCUUGAUUAAUUUUAGAGCUGUUCCCAAACUGAGGAAGGAGAAAACUGGGGUAAACAAAAAUAAAUAGCAAAGUAUAACUGAAAACAGUACUUGAUUUAAUUACCAUAAGACAUAUUUCCUGCUGGAAAAUAACAUAAUUAGUGGUAUAUUGAACUUAAACCUCUUCUAUGGUAGUUAUUAAAUUCCAUGACAUUUCAGCUUGAUUAACUUUUUAACAGAUAUGACUCGAGGCUUUUACAGUAAACCUUCUGAGGUGGAUGGGAUAUCUGAUGACCUACACUGCCGACAGUCCCAAUUAUUCAAACUGAAGAAAAUGUGUUGUAAAACCUCAUUAGCAGAAAGGAAACUGAUAGACUUAUUGCCUGAUUUUUCUCCUGUUUUGGUAUUGGGUGAGAUGAAAUGAGGAGUUGUAAAAGAAAGCAUCCUCCUGCCCCAGCGAGUAGAGCAACAAGGGGUUUUCUCAACUCCAGCAUUACCUCUGCCUUGAUGAUGCUAUUUUACAGGAGUUAAUUAUGCGUUUUGUAUAGGAUAUUUAUUUACAGGGGGUUAUUCUGUUUGCGAGAGCACUCCAGCUGCAUUUGGGAGUCCCUUUUCCUGUGCCUCCACUAACCUAUAGCUGUUCAGCGUAAUGGACAGAGUUGUACAGCAGCUUCUCUCCAUUUGAUAAGAAUGACAGCCUUGGGCAUAAUAAAGGGAAUGAGGCUUCAUGUAGGUAGAGAUUAAUUAGUUGCAUUUCUCAGGAAAAUAGUAAUAGAAAACCUUAUUUCAUGUCACAGCGCCUCAAAAGUGCUUCCCCAGUCCUGUGCACUCUCCAAAGAGCUGCCUCCUGAUAUGAGGUUUUUGUGCUGAGAUCCUGGAAAGAACAACCCAGUGUUACCAUUGCCAUUCGCACGGGCAAUUGGGGAUUUGAGGUGAACAUGUAGUUUAAAGCAGAAGAGCCUCUCCUCGUGUUGUUUAUCAAGCUCGAAGCACAUGGGCUGGAAGAAUCGGAUACACAACUGUUAAUAUUUUCCUCCUUGAUGUUGGAAAUAUUAUUUAUUUAUAUAUUUUAAAUGAAAUUAGUUCAAAGCCAUGUUAUCUCCCCAUUGCCCAUUCUGAUCUCUGAUUGUAUGUAGUUCCUAGGUUAGAGGAAACCAAUAUAAUAAUGUAAAAAUUAUUCCUAAAAUACUAAGACCGUGGUAUUAUUUUAUGGAUCUAUUUCAGGGUUUUUUUUUGAUCUUGACUUGUACCUCUGCUGCACAAACCCACUUGGUGUAAUGGCUGUAAAUAACUGCUGUUGAAGUAAAGUGUCCUGACUCUGUUACAUUUGGCCAUUGCAGGUCUGGACCAUCAUCCUGUUGGAAUCCAACUGCAGGGCACGUGCUUACCACCACAGAUGCCCAAGUGCUCCCAGGUCCAAAGCUGUGCAUUUCCAAAGUUUUAUCCAUUUAUAAGGCUUCACAAGAAUAAAAGAUGAAAAUGUAUCUAUAACCUGAGAGCCUUUCCUGGGAAAUAAGUACAAACCAUGGCAUUUAUAUCAAAUAUUUGGACAAUGUGUAUACAGUUUUCUUUGGAUGGGAUGUUGUUCCUUGAUUCUUUAGGAGUUUUCUCUGCAAGGGGUCACAGACAUUAAUCUAAUCAGUUCUAACUGUUAGUUGCCUUACCACACAGUACAUAGGGAAAACUAAAAUAAUCCAGGUAAAAAAGUUAAUUUUUGAAAAAUGUUUACAAAAUAGUGAACCUUAAUGGGAAACAAACCCAAAGAAAUAAAGCUCCGAACCAAAGUGAAAUUGGCUGAGUUAAUGAAUAAUGAUCAGGGAGACGAUGACAUUUGUAUCAAAUUGCUCUGUGCUCCAAAAUAUGAGAAUGAAUAUAAUGAAAGAUUAAUGGAAUUUGCUUUUGUCUUUCUGUAAAGAAGAAAAAAAAGGCUACUUAAACCAGUGGCGUGAUUGGUAUGCAUAUGAAGACACAAAGGUUAUGAAAAUAUGGCACAAUCUCCCCAAUUCUCUGAUUUAAUUAAGAUAAGCCUCUAAAGAAAAGAAUUAAAAGGGAUGCUUGUGGUAACGGUGAUUGAUAAACUCACGUGCCAUUUCUUGAAGGUGCAAAACAGCAGCAGUAAUGAAUGACUGCUCAAUACCACCAAAUGUCAGAUAGGAGCAGCUGAAAUCAGUUUGGAGGAAAAAAGGGACAUCAAUUUUACCAAAUCUGUGAGAAUAGCAGUUGAAUAGUGUAAGUGGAAGACCUCAUACUUUACAAGGAUGCACUGGGGCUGAGCUCUCCAGAGAUUUUUGACUGACCUCACAGUACAAACAGAGGACUUUUCCUGACAGUAUUUUUUUGUUUAGGUUGUUCCUGAGAGAUGGAAGUUUGUCUCAGCAGCCCUAUCACUGAUAUCUGUAGAGAAUAUAAAAAAAGAUAAAUUGCCAUACUUUAAACCAGAUCCUCAGAUAACACAGUAAUCCUGGGUAUGUCAAUGGCUUUUCUUGCCAUGAGAGCCCUUUUCCCAGUUGGAUUAAUACGAAGGCUUCAAUGGGGAAAAAGUAUGUGGCAAGGCACUUUCCAAGCUGUUCUCACUCCAUUCUUUGCUGAGGGUUUUGCCAAAUUCUGUAGGCUGCUCUAAAAAUUUCCUUAACUGCUUAGAAAUCCUUUGCUGCCAUUGGAUGGGGAUAAAAGUGUAACUUUUAAAUAAAAAACUAAGAUAAAGCAAUUCAUUGUUCUCCAUUUAAAGUACAGUAUGUUCACAUUAGCUCCCACCGGAGCACACAUUUAGGCCCCCGUUUGCAGUAGAUUCUUAUACUAGAAAUAUAGUUCCUGACAGCUUGAGGCUUUGUCAUCGCAAGAUGCACUGGGUCUUCUUUUUAGGGCUCAGCCUUACACAUCAGUUUCCUGCAUCAAAUGGAAAUUGUCCAUAAUUAAGGACCUUCCUGAACCUGCUCUGGACCAUCCCUGUGAGUCAGGGAGCAGAGACUGUGGCCCUAUCCCGGUCGAGCAAUGCCCAUGGUUGCCAUGGGUUGGCUCCUCCAUGACAAAACAUAAAGGCGUUCACCUUUCUUGAAGAAGGAAAUGGUUAACAAAUGAUCUGUGAGUGUCCAAGGAGGAAAAAGCUUUUGUGGCUGAACUAUCCCAUUUGUGUUUCUGAAGACAGAGCUCUUGUAUGAGAAGAUGCUGGAAAAGCUGAUCCUCUCACUGAGAUGGACAAGUUAGCAACUUAAGAGGAAAUUUGCUUCUAUCGUGAAGGAUAAAUGUGAACAAAAUCCUAUGAUGGAUAACUGCAAUUUGUGGAGCUGAGGUUGUCCAAGAUGAGGAGGAAGCUGCGGUGAAUACUUGAUGUGACCCUCUGCAGCUUCCACAAGAACAGAAGCUAGUUUGUUACACUAGCGGAGCCAAGCAAAUGGCUAUUUAUGAACUUUGUGGAGACUGAAAGGAAGAGAUGAGACUCAAAAAAGUCUUCCUACCAAGGUGGCUGGUGACAUAAAAAAAUUGAAACCUGCUAUGUGACUGAAGCUAAUGGGCCUUACAACAUCUCAAGUUCUCCUGCUGGGAACUAGAGACAAAUGCAGAAGGCUGAACAACCCCAACUCUCUCGGCCUGUCCUCAUGUGAAAGGUGCUCCAGCCCUCGGAUCAUCUUUGUAGCCUCCUCUGGACCCGUUCCAACAGCUCCAUCUCCUUCUUACGUUGAGGAUUCCAGAACUGGACACAGUAUUCCAGCAAGAGUUUUCCGCGUGACAAUUACUACAACUGCAAUUUGCUCUGGAAGUUUUAAAUUCAUCAGUGGAAAUUGCACCUGGCUGCCCAGCCUGAUGGACUGCCGAGACAGAGCGAUACAAUGAAGCACUCUCUUACGGAGUGGGGAGGCAGAAAGAAAAAGGAGCUGCAGACAAUCUUGUCUCCUGAAAAGUAUUUAUACGGGGCUUAAGAAGAAGGAAAGUGGAAGAAACCAUCAAGUUUCCAGGGCAGCUUCAGGAAGACGAUAGCCGGAGUUCAGAAUUAAGCAGCAAGUACCAAGAAGGAUGCUGUGGACUAAGGAGCAGCUGUUUCUAUAGAGACAUGCUAAUUUAGGAGCUUAAUUUAUCAUCUGGAAGAAUAUUAUGCUAGAUACAAGUUUUCACCAAAUCACUUCCUAGUGAAACCAAAGACUCACUCGCCUGCGGCUGCGCAGAGAUUCACUUUGUGUUCAAGUUUCUGCAUUUUCAGUGGUGUCAGGAUUUUGAUGUUCCCAGCCUGUGAACCUGGAGGAUAUCACUGCUGUUCUACCUUUGUGCUCUGCUCAUGGGGCUCCGGGCUAGACCCCAGAUUCUGGCAAGGAGAUAAAAGCACCCAAAACCUAACUACAAAACAUUUCAUGCCUGGCACUGCAAAGGUCGCAUGAUACAUGAGGUCAUUAUGGAGAAUUUGAGAUCAAAAUCGUCUUCUGGGGCUGCUAAUUUUGUGGCUCAGCUUGAGGCUUUUUCAGCAAAAACUGGUCAGAAGAGAUGAAAACUGAAGUUGUACCGUGAGAUGCAUCAAAUGAGAAGUACCCUGACUGCCGCUCUCCAUGGCCUCACAGUUUGCCUCCAGCAUUUAGCAGUCCACUGAACUCAGAGACGGUGCAUGAAUGCUCCUUUUUUGUGUCUUGGGACUCAUACUACUAUUAUGUGUGCUGCAUUCAACCAAUAAAAAGAUGCUGCAAGUGUCAAUAAUUACCAUCCUGGUGAAGCCAUGGGCAGUUGAGAAAAUCCACAUUUCAGCCAUUUCUUGAAGAUAAAGGCAUGCUGUUAUCUUCUACCCUAUGUUAAGAAAAACUCAAGGAGAGUCAAUUUGCUUCAAGAGGUUUCGUUGGGGAGGAUUUCCUGGAGCACAGCAAAGAACGCAUCUCCCAAGUCCUCAGCUAACACUGUUGUGGCUGUAUCAACUUUCCUCAUUAUUUUUCUCCUGCAGAGUAUUCUUAUAAACAAUACAAUAUAACAUGAGAUGAUAUAAUUUCCUUCUCUUUCUGUUUCUUUGCAUCUUCCCUUCAAAUUCAGGUAUUGUUCACAUCUGUCUCCCUAGGAUUUCUGUGGAUCUCUGAAGUAGUAAAUUAGGUAUUGGUGGAAAUCAGAGACAGGAAUAACAACAACAAAAAAUUAGGUUAUUUUCUGUUUCUCAGAUAUAAAGAGAGACUGUAACCCUAAUAGGUAUUAAUAUGACCAUUCUCAGAUCAAAAUGACACUGCAGUACUUUCACAGAUAUUUGGUGGUUUUUGAUGAAUGAACAUGAGCAGAAAGGAAAAUUAGAAAGUUGACAAUCAACAUCAGAUGUGUUAAUUUUCUGCAAUUUUUUCAUUUAUUUGCAAGAAACUUAAUAUAUAUCUUCUAUAGCUUUAUUGCUCCUUCUAUAAAAACUCUUAUAUACUCUACUUUUCUGUUCGGUGAACUGAAAUAACUGUCAAUAUAAAAACAUCUUCUCAUAAAAGCAUUGGGAACCAUUAUGGUAUAUUGUUAUGUACACUAGUAUUACCUAAGGAAACAUUUAAAGGUUUGAAUAGACAUUUUUUGGAAGGAGUGGAAAACGAAACCACUAAAUUAAAAAUACAAUUUUUCUUGAUUAAAUUCAAGAAGAUAUUUCAUCUAACAAAAUUCAUAUGCAUGAGGUGAAGAAAUAAUCCUUUAAUGAGAAACAAAGAAAAGAAACUCUUUUUUUUCAGUGUCCGGACUCACCUUCUCCGAUGUGCCUCCUUGUCUGUAAGACUGAAGCCUCAUCUUCUCUCCUUUCAGCGAUGUUUCCACUCACUGGACAGCAUACAUGGAUCCCACACGUUCUGGUCAGAUAUGCAGCCUUGUAAGGACACUGUUGUACCGCUUCGCCCCCUCCAAAAAAAAAGAAUCUCUGGAUCUUGUCGCAUAAAAAAAGCUAGGGCUGAGCAACUUUAUUGAGUGCUGCCUCCAUUCCUCCCAUCCGUUAAACAUGGAGAAUUACACUUGUGUACUACAACUACUCAGUUUAGAGUUCAGACUUGCGAACCAACUAAAAUGUCUGGAGCUCUGAUAAAUGCUUGUGCUGAUAUGUAGAGGAUGUGGAAGAAGAGGUAUUUCAUUAGAGUUUCAACAAUGAAAAAGGAGUUUGGGUGCCAUGGGCAAAAGGGAGAUGAACUGGGGAUAACUUACAAAAGAGAAUGGAUGACUGGAAGGAAAGCAUCUAUAAAGGAAGCACAGGAAAUAUGGAGAUGUUUAUGAAAGAAACGAAGAUCUGGGAGCUGGAGGACAAAAGGCUUUUCACCUUGCAAGAAAGGGAUGAAUAUUGAAAGAGAAGAGGAGAUGGAUCGGGAGCUCAUUUUUGAAGAUAUCCUUGUCAUUUAACAUCCAUCCAGCACAAGCUAUACUCAAGUUUAAGUGCUGUGUCAAGCAAAUGCAUGCCUUGAUGUUUUUCUGCUGUCUCCGACUCCUGUUUUGCUCUUGCUGCCGCAGCAGAAUGGGUCCUUGGUGUGCCAACCAUGUGCCUUGCGCUUUGCUGGUUGUGCUGUGAGUUAUCCUGGGGAUACAGCCAAGGGCCACGUCUGCCUCCUGGGACGUGAGCUCUAGGACAUCCCAGCAGCCAUGGGCACAACUUAGUUUCUCCUCCGUUUCUCAUCACUGACCUGUGGUGCAUGAGAUGCUUCUGCGUGUCAAAUGCAGGAGCCCCAUUUUGUUCGCCACUAUUCACUUUCUAAGCAUAAUAUACCCAUGUUUUCUAGAUUAAUGUAUGUGUCGUUGGAGCUUUGAACAUUAUGAAAUGAGGAAAAGUAACAGUUGUGAAAAAGAACACAAGAAUAGCCCCACUGAUGACUGUGGGAGUUUUGAUCAGGCAACGCUUACAGGAACAGGCUUGCAAGAGACCUCACUGCAGAGCACAAGAUAAUGAACUCAUGCUAAGAAACAGCUUGGAUUUUUAUGAUAGUCUAUUUUUGUAUUGGAUUUUAACAUUUGCUGGAUCAAGGUUUAACUAAUUUAUUGUCUAAGAGCCUGAGGCUGCACCAGAGAGCGCUGAGUGCGUGAUGGAGCUCAAAUCUCUCGGACGGAAGGAGAAGCCUGCAUGUAAUCAACACUUUGCAACAGAGUGCGUGACAGAAAUCCAGCUGGAGGAGCUGUGGGAGUGAGAAGCCCAUCUCAGGGAGAAAAAUCCCUGUGGGAAGAUGCACGCAGGGCAGUCAGUGCCUUUUGAAGCACCGGACACAGUCUUGAAAACAGCAGAAAUACUCAAUGGGAUGUUUUCUUCUUUGAAUUUUAAAUAUAAAGUUUGGCAGAUAAAAGUCUGGCUUGACUUAAGGAGUUACUGACUUUAUCCUGGAUGUAGAGCUGGCCUCAGAUUUGAUAAGAUGCCUGAAUACAACAAAACAUGUGAAUUAACAGCAAUAAUCAUGCACAAGUAGUCUGUAACUCAUGCAUUGACACCAAGUCUUAGAAUAAAGCUGUUACUAUUUCUUGCUUACUCCCCUCAGGUUAACUUUUUAUACUUCCAGGGACAUUUAUUGAAAAGGAAAAAGGCACUUGCUGUAUAGAACCCCUCCACACAAGUACAGCUCCAUGCGUGUUCAGGUUAGCGUAAUGACCCCAACAGUUACUGCUUACACCCUGCCCCAGAAAGCCCUUUCUGCACAUGCUUCACUUUGGUGCUUUAUUGCUCCUAAAGCCCCUGCCUUUCUUGGACAAUGUCCUCCUGCACUUUAUCAAGAUCUCUCUCCCUAUGAUAAAUGGUAAGAAAAUAAUGAAGUCUUUUAAAUUUCAUUUUAUAUGUAAAAAAUGCAAAUUGCCACAUAAACAUUUGAGUAAUGCCCCUGCCAUGGGUAUCGGCUGUGUUUCACUGCUGGUCAGGCUUCUGCUGGCUUGUGAUUUCCCAAGCAAUGUAGCUUGGCUGGAAGCUACUCAUAAUUCAUCAUUUUUGCCAUGUAAAAGUCAACAGCCCUCUUAUCACAGCAGGGAGAGGAGAGCACAGGAGGGAUUUGGCAAUGAACCGGCUGAUGCACAGAAAAGCAGGGAAGACUCCUUCAACAUGACAGGUGGUGUCCUAGGAAAGGGAAAGUCGACUUUUUAGAAAAGAAAGCAUCAGCACCUGUGUAUUCUAUAGUUGGUUCUCAUCAUCUACAAUUACGCAAGCAGUGCUGCUUUGUGUUUGAAAAGAGAAAGAGAGUGAAAUCCAGCAUCCCGAACUGGAGAACUUAUCACUUGAGAAGCCACUGAUCCCUUCCUGUGGUGAAGAAGAGACUGUAGAAAUUUUAAACAUGGAGAGAUGAUCACGUCGUUUACAGGGAGCAAAGCCAAAAACUUUAUUAUAGGCUAACAUCAAACUAUUGCUUGAGAUAUGGCAUUAGGGGGAUAUUCCCAGCAUGCAAAUAUCCCACAGAGGCAGAGAUAAGAACCGGAAUCUGUUGGAUCUGCUGCUCUCUGUCUACCUCCAAGUGCCUGCCAGGAUGUUCUUUUCACCCACACAGUGUGAAGCUCUUUCUGUCUCUUCCAGGAAACCCCCAAAUUUUUGUGUUUCAGAGGGCUCAAAGCACAGAUCAUGUUGUGCUCAAACUCCCGUUAUCAACAGAGAACACGCCGUGAACAUGGGGCAAAGCGUUCCCUGUUCAUGCAGCUCGUGCCUGGUCCAUACACCAACAACAUAACUUUGCACCCCUCAUGAGCACUCAGUGAUGCAGUUUUCUAUUAGGUUUUUCUUUGAAUGAAGUCUGGAUCAGUCUCUGCGAGAAAAAUGAGAUGUGAGUGAGAAUUUGUUCUUUGUUGGGUUUCUUCAGCCGUUAGAUUUCAGAUGUGAACUGCUCCUAUUUUAUUUUGUUCAUGAUUUGUAAUAGAGAAAAGGCUUUGGAAAUCCACUUGUUCUUUCCAAGUCCUAAAAAUCAGACACUUUCCAAAGCCCACAGCAUGGCUUUUGCAGCAGAUGACUCCUCCUGCCUAAUUCACACCGUGAAUCCUGUGACCGAUUCACACUGUGUGAAGAAAUAGUGAAUAAACAAUAUACAAAGUGUUUGAUACAGUAAUUCAGAUGGCCAAAAGCCUCCCACAAAACAUUACUUGUAAGGAAUUAAACAGUACCAGGCAAGAGGUAUGGCACUUCGAUUCUUGCCAAGACAUAGAGCAGAGGGAGGAGCUGAUGACCACCUGCCAGUGCAGCAGGAACUCAGCAGAGGGUGCCAAGAUGUGAAUUGGGGUCAGAGUUAUCCAGUGUGUCCUUAAAUGUUGGGGGAGGCAUAAAGAGAGAGGUGGUUGAGUGUGCCUGUGGCCAGAUAUUUCAGUUAUAUUGAGUGGGAAGACUGAGGGAAACUUCUGGAAGAUUUAAUAAGGAAGGAGGGAGAACGGCAGCAGGGCAGAUGAAAUGUUUUGCUGACAAAUGCAAAACAAUGCACAUUAGGAGGAAAAUAUGAACUACUGCUCACUGGUGAGUUCUAAAUUAGCUCUAAAAUUCAUGAAAAAGAGUUAGGCAUCAUCGCGGAGAGUUAAUAAAAAUAUCUGCUGAGUAGGCAGCAGCUUGCAAAAAAAAAAAAAACAAGCAAAACGUUCAGAUGUUUAAAGACUUGGAACAGAAGCUGCAACUAAAAUAUGAUGAUGAUGCCACCAUGCACAUGAACGGUAUUGCUUGAUUUCAAAGGCAGUGGUCCUGCUCUUGUACACAAAGUAGUGGAAAGAAAAGACCUGUUAAUCAGCAGCUACAGCCACCGAAAGAGCUGCAUGAAUUUAUACUGAAGAGAUUAUAGAAGAAUGACUCGGUUUGUGAGUCCCUGUGAUAAGUCCAGUCUUCCCCUUUUCUCCCUGUUCUGCAUCAGCUCCCAUGCAAGAGUGACUUUGCCGUGAUAUAGCCUACAUUAAAUUUGAAGUGAUUUCUACUAGUGCAAAACAAACCAGUCAUCAUCUUUUUAAUGUUUAUGUGGACUUUUUUCUUCUAAAGUGCAAAGGGUUUUUUUUGAUAAUUACUCAAAUAACAUUAUGAAAAUAAACUAAAAAAGAGCCAUAAAAGUACAAGUUGGAUGGUAAUUCUGCAUAUAGAAUCAUAGAAUCAUUUUGAUUUGAAAAGACCUUCAAGAUGAUAGAGUCAGGCUGCAAAGUUCAACAUUUAGUCCAAAGAACUGCUCACUGUAAAGCCAAAGGCAGGCCAUGAUGCUCAGUGCCUUGUUUGGCCAAGUUCUGAAAAUCCUGCAAAUACUAUGUGCCAAGAAUUACUCUCUCAUUAAAAAGCUGAUCUCCAGUCUGUAAAUUUAUUUUAUUCCAACUGCUACAUGAAAAGCCGUAAAACAAUUUAUGAGCUGAAAAAUGCUCAUCUUACUGCCACAGCAACUUGACAUAUGCCAACUUUAAUUCUGGCUUUCCUAAAGCCUCUGUGCAGCUUUGUGGAUGAAGGUGAGCUGUGAUGCUGUUUCAGCGUCUGUUCUAAGGAAGGAAUCUUCAUCGCAAAUAAAAGAUGAUGUCUGAUUUAUUCAUUGAAUUAUAAUUUUACAGACAAGUAUUUAAAAGGCUCUGCUGUUAUCAGUGCACAUACUUAAGUAGUAUCUGCUUAGAGAGAGGGAGAACUUGUUGUGGGUGGUACAAAGGACCUUCUAAGCACACCUCUGCAGUGUGGGGCUAUGCCUACAGUGCAAAGCAAACCCUCAUCUUUGCAUCCCCUCAGAGUAGAGGAGCACCAGGGUGUUUUAUCUGCUGAUGAUUUUAGGGGAAAUUAUCAGAAGAACAAGAAGUUUCUGCCAUCUGCUCAUUGGUGCAACUCAAAGUCUGCGUUUGGGUGAUUUCCUCAUAAGCUCUGGCUUUCCUCCUAAUGGUGGCCACCUGGUUCUGACAACUCAGCAGAGCAGGCUCUGCUGUACAGUCUCACACUGUGGCACAACCAGUUUAACAUCUUGUUCAACAUCUAAUCAAGCACCAAAUGCUUCAGGAGGAACAAAAAGCAAAAAAAGGGUUUGGACGAGAGAUCACCUGCACUUCAAUUAAGGCAUCCUUUUAAUCUUUCUUAACUAGUGAAUGAUUUAUGCUCAGAGUGAGAAGGCGUUUUAUACCUUCUGCAAGGGCUCAGGCUGCUGUGUCAAUGAACUGUCUAUUAGCUCCAGAUGUGGUUUAGUUCCUUUACAAACUCCACCCUCAGCCUCUGCUGUGCUCUGCUCCUUCUCUCUGAAAAGGUGUAGGGCUUUCCAGCUGCAGGACCGAAACUUCUGUUGCCCUAAAUACGCCCAUUCAACUCCUGGCGUGCCCAGACACCAUGCCAUGCUACUGUCUCUCAGCUGUCAGGGUCUCCAUCCUUUGUUUCUUCCCCUGAAGCUUUCAAACCCUGCCAGCCAGUCCAAUUCUUUUCCUCAUCAAAGACCCUGCUUCUAGCAUCCAGCCUAAAUUUACCUCUGUCCAUCCGAGGACCUCAUCCUCAAGCCAUUAAGAUUUUAUUCUCUUUCUGCUAUUUUAGUGCUUCGUAGUCUCUCUGUGCACAAAUGUUAAGAAAGCUCAGGCAGGGUCAUCACCUUUGAGCACUGUAUGCUAAUGCUGAUAAUCUGCUGGGCACUAACACAGAUGUCUAUGCAGUCUGCAGCACUUCCCAGAGCACUUGAAGUCCUAUUCUGCAUAUCUUCGGUUCAUUUCUCUUACAGCACUAAGUAAAAUACAAGCAAGAAAAGCAGAAAAACUAGACUUUAGGAGACCAUUUCUAGAAGGAAGGUGAAGCAGAGAUUCAAAAGCCACUUAGUGAGUUGAAAAGCCUUACAGGUGCAGCUGGAGCACUUUGUCGGGGAAGGAAUCCGUCCAGAUGCUGCUGCAGCAGCAUCCCGAUCGGGGCUUCUGGUGUCUGGUCUCAUGGGUUGAAAAUCUGUAGACUUAAGUUACGUUUAAUCGACACUUGUGAAUAUCAGAUGGCCACCACAACGCAAAGGGAUUCUUUUUACUUACUCUGUCAUCUCCUGUAAGAAUCAUAGAAUAGUUUGGGUUGGAAGGGACCUUAGAGAUCAUCUAGUUCCACCCCCCCUGAAAAAUCUCAGUACAGAGGUGAAGGAAUUCUCCUUCUCUUUGAUCUGAGCAAAACAAUGUUCUGUGCUAUUUGGAUAUGAUUUUCUUAUCACCUUUUCUGUAAAAAAAAACGAGUAAAAAAACAAGGGAAAUGACCAUACUUCAUACUACAAUUUUCUGUCCCUAGUAUUCUGUCAUUUCUGUAGUUGCUCAUUGUACGUACCUAAUUUGUCUUUAUUACAUCAGCAAAGUAAGGCUAAUAUUUAGACUUCGAGCAACACAUCCAAGAGUCAAAAAAACAGAUGCAUUUUUGUGACUCAUAAAUGAUACUUUUUUGUAGUCAGUGUAACAAAGACAUCAGCACUCUUAUCGGUAUCAUACACAUUGUAGACUGUUAAUAACAUUACCAAUCAGCUCUAAGAGUACUAUAGCAUAGUGUCUUGAAAAAUAUGCUGAAAAUAAUUAAAUUAAAUUAUUUACAAUCCAUAGUUAAUGGUGCAAGGCACAUGUGUAUUCUCCUUUGUUUAUGAUGCAUCCUAUCUUAAAGAAUAAAUAUGGUUUUUUUAAGGUACUUCAGUUUAUUUCAGCUGGACUCAGGAGCCUAAAUACCUUAAGAGCAUAAACCUACUAUUUUAUUUAUUAUUAUCAAAUACAAUUCAGUGAUCUCUGAAAAGCUUAUAACAUUCUCACAAUAGAUUUCAGGUUGGUUUUGGAGGAGUCUUUCUUCCUCAGGGCAGAGCUCUGUUUUGCUGCAUUUCAUUGCAAAUUUUACUGAAAUGCGAAGAACACUUUGAUUCAAGUAUUUGACACUGAUCUUUCAACAAAUUUCACUCUAAGAGCCAAAUUACGGAUUGUUUUGCUCAACGGCUGGUUGUAAAUGCCCAGGUGGCAGAGCAUGGCCCCAGUCCCAGAGGCAGCUCCCACUUUGUUUCUGAUUUUAUGGCAUAUAGCGAGAAAAGGCACAGAAGUUUCAUGGGCUUCUGGAUUACCUCCUCAAGUUAAUAAAUAUAUUUAUGGCUAUUGUGUCAGCCCAUGGAGGCAUGAACAUAGUUUCUACAUUACCUGUUGCAUAAUUUAUAAAGCAAGACCACAAGAUGGGCAACUGUGCAAGCCAAGGUGGGGAUGAACACUGUUUUGGCUCGCGGUGCAUCAUUGCUCCACAUCCUGGCAUGGAUGAUGGCACCUUUCUCUUUGACAGCCACUCAGACCAAAACUUUCUGCUGCCUACAACCUUUCUGAGAUCAACGGAGAAGAAAGAGAAGCACAGCAUACCAUGCAAUUGAGUUAUAUGGCAUAAAAUAAAUGCCAGCUAAGAGAGACAUCAUCCAAACCAGUUGGAAGGAUGAUAGCUUCUAGGACAUCAACAAAAGGUUUGCAAGUCACCUCAAGCCACCAGAGAUUGAAAAGUUCUUUCAGUCUAGUGACAAGUAAUACCUGUAACAAGUUGAGCUAUAGUGAGUAUAGUCUUAAACUGGGAUUUAUCUCAGUUUUAUCAGGCAGUAAUAACAAUUUGUGUGGAAAUUUCCUAAGGAGAACCAGUUGCAUGUCUGAGAAAUUGCUGAGCAAAUGGAUGGCUUCCCUCCCUCUGACUGUGAGCCAGGAGUGCUGUGCAGGUGCAGGUGGUAAGACCAAAGGGGGCUCUUGGUUGUCUGACACCAAUGCUUAAUCCCAUUCUUUAUUUUCUUUUCUGAGUGCAGCAUUUGCUCCUGCCUCCUUUGAAAUCAAUGGAUUCUGCUUUGGAAUAAAAGUCUGUCCGGGAUUAUCACAGGUUUCCAAUGUAGACAUACAUUUGUGUUUCAUAAAAUAUGUUGGGAUGGGAUAGAUCUACCAGUGUAACUGUCUUCUAAAUGUCACAUUUAAACACCUUUCUUACUCAUUGCUCCGAAUGGUUUCCUACUGGUGAGAUGUCUAAAAGGAAAAAUGUCAAUUUGCACUAUAUUUAAUAAUCUCUCUACAAUAACCAUCUUUUUAAUUUUGCCUUUUCUCUCCUUUUAUUAUACUACAAAGAGAAGACACCUGCUACACAGUUUCCAUACUAUAGUCAUAUAUGAAGAUUUCAAUUAGUAAACAGCUUGACUUGACAGUAAUGUUAGAAGACAGGAUUGAAGAAAUGUAAAGCAGGAAGAAUUCACAGAUAUGUUCUGUAGAACUUUGAAGUAUAUACUUGAAAUAUGUUCUUGAAAAUACGACCACAGCUUUAAAACCAUACCUAUCAUUUACUUCGUAACAGACAUAAAGUUAUCAUUUUCUUGUCAGCAAUUAGUCAGUCACCUCAAAUAACUAGACGUAUGAGACACUGAAAAAGUGAAUUCAGAGCACGCAGAUGGCUCAUAGAAGCCACAAAAUACGCACAGUUGUUUAAAGUUCAGGAGCGAAACAUUUAUUAUUGAAAAACUUAUUACUGUGCAACUGGAAGGUUAAGCACAUCAGAUCAUGUAGCAAUGCGGCAGUUAUGACACAGCACAUCACUAAAGUUUGUCAUUAUUAAGACAGUUCAGCUUUGUCACUGCUAGCAAGAGAUGCUGGGAUGUUCAUCUACAGCAAAGAAUUAUUAACAACCAACAUGAUACUUCAGAAAUAUACUUUAUUCAUUACUUCAGCAAUCGCAGUUUAAAGCACUUCCUAACAAGCUCGUAAAUGCACAGUCCGAUAUUAUACACAAAUGGUAUUUUAGCACUCUGAAAUGUCUCGGCACUGCAUUCCUAUGAAGUUUUCUCUGAUGGAUGGGAAGACUGCCAGCUUCUUAACAAGAGUGGCAAAGUGUGGGUUAGAGAAGUUGCGUUAGACUCCAUUGGUUUUAACUGCAGGGGUAAUUGAGAAUAAAAGCUAAACAGAUAGGUCAAAUCUAUUUUUUCAAGUAAUUAUGAGUGAUUCAUACAUAGAAAGUAGUGGUACUGAGAUAUAAGUGUAUGUAAAUUUUGGAAGUGAUUUCCUAGAGAAAAUUAUUGGGUUAACAGUAGUUUAGCAUCCUAAAAUUAGAAAUGAUUUUAAACUUAAUGUAUUUGGGGAAUAAUCUACUGCAUAGGAAAAUAUAUCUGUCUCGUUAGAAGCAAUUUAGGAACCAGAAAGCCUUUUUGAUUACUGUAAAUGGCUCCGAAAGAAAAACAUCUUAUUGCUGAUGUGCAUGACAGACGUGAACACACGCCUUAAUGAACAGCCUGAGUUUGGCAGAGCAGCAAGACAGAGUCAGCAUUUACCAUCGCUCACAGGGCCAAGAACCACUCCUGAAUUAAAAUAUUUUAAGGAACCGGGGAGUCAGGGGACCUUCAGACCAUCCACCCACACUUCACCAUCUCAGCAUUGAAGUCCCCUUUGUGAAAUUAAAUUCCUGCUGCAAGUUAAAUGAGAAUUUUUACCCUUAAGAUGUCACAACUGUUCUGUUCAUUGGUAUUCUCCUGGUACACAGCUGGGCUAAAGAAACUCUGCCAGAGUCACACAAGACUAUGCAGAAAAUAUUCCUGGAGCAUUUAAGGGCUGUUGGUAAGUGUGUGAGUUGGCCAAGAAAGCAGCUGCAGGGGUUUUGAGCCAUCUCCCUUCCCUAUAGUAUUUAUCCAAACAUGUCAGUGCAGUUGGUGCCCCUUUGCUCCCCCCUUGAGCUGCACCUCACCUGGUUGUUUUGCAGGACCUGGCUCACAACUACCUCAUUCUGGCAGAUGAAAACUUUAGCCAAAGCUCAUCAAGGGCACACAGCCCUAUGUAGUGUCUUGUCACAGCCAAUGAGCAGGGUAAAGAGUCCACCUAAAAGCAGAUUCUGUGCCAUACAGCAUGAG
Cuculus canorus (common cuckoo) is the source of this 17620-nucleotide long non-coding RNA. RefSeq lists it as uncharacterized. The transcript has 26 exons. NCBI's taxonomy places the organism in Eukaryota, Metazoa, Chordata, Aves, Cuculiformes, Cuculidae. The record is from RefSeq and is a predicted model, not a curated record.